CGAGAUACAGGCGUGCACCCCGGAGAGGACAGGCUGAGGACCCUCAACAGAGACAGGAAAACCUGCCCGUCACUGAGAAAUGGUUGGAAAAAACAUGAGUAAAAGCCUCACUCUUAAGAAUCCUGGAAGAGUAGCAUACGAUUCAGGCGGGAUAAAGAUGUUUUGGGAGAAAAAAAUCGAGCAUCACGCAAGACACCUGCAGAACGAGGACAUCAGGGUUCGCAGAAGCGCUCUGAACAAGCUCCGCGUGGGAUGGGCUGAGCAGCUGGAGGGGAGGAACAAGAUGCUGCAGGGCCCAGGGAGAUGCCCAGACAGGGUCCCGGAGGCCACUGAGUCCCUCCACACCAAGGACAAGAAGGCGGCCUGAGGGCCCACGAGCUCCAGACUCUGCAUGAGCUUCCGGAGGGUCAUGGAGAAGGAACACCACGCGUGGGGUCCA
RNAcentral lists this unclassified non-coding RNA (439 nucleotides) under Homo sapiens (human). Its description in RNAcentral is "family with sequence similarity 240 member C (ENSG00000281553.2)". The record is from RNAcentral. Lineage: Eukaryota; Metazoa; Chordata; Mammalia; Primates; Hominidae.